AUUGAACGCUGGCGGAAUGCUUUACACAUGCAAGUCGAACGGCAGCACGGACUUCGGUCUGGUGGCGAGUGGCGAACGGGUGAGUAAUGUAUCGGAACGUGCCCAGUCGUGGGGGAUAACGUAGUGAAAAUUACGCUAAUACCGCAUACGAUCUAUGGAUGAAAGCGGGGGAUCGCAAGACCUCGCGCGAUUGGAGCGGCCGAUAUCAGAUUAGGUAGUUGGUGGGGUAAAGGCCCACCAAGCCAACGAUCUGUAGCUGGUCUGAGAGGACGACCAGCCACACUGGAACUGAGACACGGUCCAGACUCCUACGGGAGGCAGCAGUGGGGAAUUUUGGACAAUGGGCGAAAGCCUGAUCCAGCCAUUCCGCGUGCAGGAUGAAGGCCCUCGGGUUGUAAACUGCCUUUGUACAGAACGAAAAGGUUUCUACUAAUACUAGGAGCUCAUGACGGUACCGUAAGAAUAAGCACCGGCUAACUACGUGCCAGCCGCCGCAGUAA
Molecule: ribosomal RNA, 500 nt
Filed under: uncultured bacterium
Lineage: Bacteria
Description: partial 16S ribosomal RNA
Rfam family: Bacterial small subunit ribosomal RNA
Source: RNAcentral